UCUUUUUUUUUUUGUCGACCAUAAUUCCAAAAAAAAAUUAUAUAUAAAAAGAAAAUUCGAACUUCGGUGUAUUAUUCCCCUCCAAAGUAAACGUCCAAGUUCAAAGCCCUAUUUUCUGUAUUCCUUCUUCAGAUUGUUUGAAGGUUUGUAAUUAUGGGAGGAUAUAUCUCAUCUGGGAUUGUACCUGAAGCUGCAAGGAAUCAGGAAGUGUUGACCAAAGUCUCCGAAAAGGAUCAAAAACCGAAAAAGAAGAUUUGUUGUGCAUGUCCUGAGACUAAGAAGUUGCGAGAUGAAUGUAUAGUAGAGCACGGUGAAGCUGCAUGUGCCAAGUGGAUUGAAGCGCAUAACCAAUGUCUUCGUGCAGAGGGCUUUAACGUAUGAUGAAGAGUCAGAUUCUGAAGGUAUUGAGCUCCUUCAGUUAUGCAGAUAUAGUUAGGUUUUUCUCAGAUUUAUACACAUGUUUAACACAUAAAGUAUCACAGCAAUUUUGAGAUGAGCUUUUCUGUUAUUAUUAGAUGUCUUAUCCAUACUGUUAAAUUUGUGAAGCAUUGAUUUUCUGAUACUCAAGUAGAUUUAUAUUUUAUGAUACAUUAUGCCUAUCUUUCCCCGAUUCU
Molecule: long non-coding RNA, 614 nt
Organism: Amaranthus tricolor (Joseph's coat)
Lineage: Eukaryota; Viridiplantae; Streptophyta; Magnoliopsida; Caryophyllales; Amaranthaceae
Exons: 2
Source: RefSeq, a predicted model, not a curated record